RNAcentral lists this ribosomal RNA (269 nucleotides) under Enterococcus avium. RNAcentral describes it as "partial 16S ribosomal RNA". It matches the Rfam family "Bacterial small subunit ribosomal RNA", at positions 1 to 250 of the family's 1533-position model. The record is from RNAcentral. Lineage: Bacteria; Bacillati; Bacillota; Bacilli; Lactobacillales; Enterococcaceae.
UUUUAUGAGAGUUUGAUCCUGGCUCAGGACGAACGCUGGCGGCGUGCCUAAUACAUGCAAGUCGAACGCUUUUUCUUUCACCGGAGCUUGCUCCACCGAAAGAAAAGGAGUGGCGAACGGGUGAGUAACACGUGGGUAACCUGCCCAUCAGAAGGGGAUAACACUUGGAAACAGGUGCUAAUACCGUAUAACAAUCGAAACCGCAUGGUUUCGGUUUGAAAGGCGCUUUUGCGUCACUGAUGGAUGGACCCGCGGUGCAUUAGCUAGUU